This 776-nucleotide ribosomal RNA is filed under the name uncultured Neocallimastigales. RNAcentral's name for it is "partial large subunit ribosomal RNA". It matches the Rfam family "Eukaryotic large subunit ribosomal RNA", at positions 22 to 643 of the family's 3401-position model. The record is from RNAcentral. Lineage: Eukaryota; Fungi; Neocallimastigomycota; Neocallimastigomycetes; Neocallimastigales.
UAGAUGCGAGAGUAGAGCAUAUCAAUAAGCGGAGGAAAAGAAACUAACAAGGAUUCCCCUAGUAACGGCGAGUGAAGCGGGAAGAGCUCAAAUUUGAAAUCUUCAAGGGUUUCCCUUGACGAAUUGUAGUUUAAAGAAGUGUUUUCUGUUAGAGAGGUGGUAAAAGUUCUUUGGAAUAGGACAUCAUAGAGGGUGAGAAUCCCGUAUUUGAUCACUUUCUACUAACGUUGUGAUACACUUUCAAAGAGUCGGAUUGUUUGGGAAUGCAGUCCAAAAUGGGUGGUAAAUUUCAUCUAAAGCUAAAUAUUGGCGAGAGACCGAUAGCGAACAAGUACCGUGAGGGAAAGAUGAAAAGAACUUUGAAAAGAGAGUUAAACAGUACGUGAAAUUGUCAAAAGGGAAGCGUUUGACACCAGUGUUGUUUUUCCGAAAAUCAAUUAUGAAUGGCUUGAUUUUAAGUUUCAUGACCUUAAAAGCUUGUUUCUUAUUUUUCAUGUCUUUCGUAAUGCACUUUUCGGUUAACAAGUCAACAUCAAUUUCUUUUGUUGUAAAAGGUUAAGAGGAAGGUGGCUUUACUUUCGGGUAAAGUGUUUAUAGCCUUUAUAACUCUGCAAUCGGAGAGAUUGAGGUCUGCAGCGUAGAUCCUUCGGGGUUAGAUACGUUUAUGCUAAGAUUAUAGCUUUUCAUAGACAACUUGUUGACUAUGUUUAGUCAUGUAGCUUACUCGUAAGUGCUAUUUUACCUACGCUUAGGAUGUUGACACACGCGCGUGCUCG